GGUGAACGCUGGCGGUAGGCCUAACACAUGCAAGUCGAACGGCAGCACAGUAAGAGCUUGCUCUUACGGGUGGCGAGUGGCGGACGGGUGAGGAAUACAUCGGAAUCUACUUUUUCGUGGGGGAUAACGUAGGGAAACUUACGCUAAUACCGCAUACGACCUACGGGUGAAAGCAGGGGAUCUUCGGACCUUGCGCGAUUGAAUUAGCCGAUGUCGGAUUAGCUAGUUGGCGGGGUAAAGGCCCACCAAGGCGACGAUCCGUAGCUGGUCUGAGAGGAUGAUCAGCCACACUGGAACUGAGACACGGUCCAGACUCCUAAGGGAGGCAGCAGUGGGGAAUAUUGGACAAUGGGCGCAAGCCUGAUCCAGCCAUCCCGCGUGGGUGAAGAAGGCCUUCGGGUUGUAAAGACCUUUUGUUGGGAAAGAAAAGCAGCAGGUUAAUACCCCGCUGUUCUGACGGUACCCAAAGAAUAAGCACCGGCUAACUUCGAG
RNAcentral lists this ribosomal RNA (492 nucleotides) under uncultured bacterium. Its description in RNAcentral is "partial 16S ribosomal RNA". It matches the Rfam family "Bacterial small subunit ribosomal RNA", at positions 28 to 507 of the family's 1533-position model. The record is from RNAcentral.